AACAUUAGAUUUAGACGUUUUCUUAUAUUUUUGAUGUACAUAACCAUUUGAUACCAAGAUUGAUACUCAUAUUUGCAAAAAAAAAAACAAUAUUUGAACGUUUUAUGAUGUUUCUAGAUUACUCCAAAUACCACAGUUAUAGUGCGAUUGAUAGAUAUUGAUAGAUUGAAGUUAUAAUCUUAAAUACUCGUUUUCCUUUCGAUAGUCCGUCUAGAAUGUCUUAGUAAUGUAUACAUUUUGAUCAUAGCAAUAGCUCCCGUGCCCCAUCAGUCAGUUAACUGACCUCAGCUUACCUAACAUCAUAUGUGGCAACUUUUUAAGCGACAUAUUGGAACUAGUGCCGAGAACGCGAAGAGUCGUUAGACCACUGAUGUAGGCGCCAAAUCAUGGGUGACGAAUUUUACGGCGUGCUUGAUCAAAUUUGUAGCAUUUUACACAUUCUGUUGGAUAACAAGAGAAAUUCGAAUAGUUAACAACAACUUCUCAUCAAUGUACCUAUUGUCUACACCUCUAACUACAUAGCACAUUACCUAACUUCCGACAUGAUAGAUUGAAGUUAUAUUCUUAAAUACUCGUUUUCCUUUCGAUAGUCCGUCUAGAAUGUCUUGUAAUGUAUACAUUUUGAUCAUAGCAAUAGCUCCCGUGCCCCAUCAGUCAGUUAACUGACCUCGGCUUACCUAACAUCAUAUGUGGCAACUCUUUAAGCGACAUAUUGGAACUAGUGCCGAGAACGCGAAGAGUCGUUAGACCACUGAUGUAGGCGCCAAAUCAUGGGUGACGAAUUUUACGGCGUGCUUGAUCAAAUUUGUAGCAUUUUACACAUUCUAUUGGAUAACAAGAGAAAUUCGAAUAGUUAACAAAAACUUCUCAUCAAUAUACCUAUUGUCUACACCUCUAACUACAUAGCACAUUACCUAACUUCCGACAUGAUAGAUUGAAGUUAUAUUCUUAAAUACUCGUUUUCCUUUCGAUAGUCCGUCUAGAAUGUCUUAGUAAUGUAUACAUUUUGAUCAUAGCAAUAGCUCCCGUGCCCCAUCAGUCAGUUAACUGACCUCGGCUUACCUAACAUCAUAUGUGGCAACUCUUUAAGCGACAUAUUGGAACUAGUGCCGAGAACGCGAAGAGUCGUUAGACCACUGAUGUAGGCGCCAAAUCAUGGGUGACGAAUUUUACGGCGUGCUUGAUCAAAUUUGUAGCAUUUUACACAUUCUAUUGGAUAACAAGAGAAAUUCGAAUAGUUAAUAACAACUUCUCAUCAAUACAAUGGUUAGUUUUGGACACCUACGAAAGAUCUUGAUGUAGAUAGCUCUACGAUCAUAGGAGGUAUACUCCAAAGGAUACGUUUGGUGAACGUUGAGGCGCACAAAAUAUUUUUUUUGUGUUGAGACAGCUGACUGCAUAAUUCGUCUAUUUGUUUCUCCAUAUUGACCGCUGCAGAACUGGGUGGCCGAAAAUCUGGAAAGGAAAACUAUAUCAACAUAUUUCAUUGAAUAAGCUAUUCUUGAUACGCUUGCAAUGGUUAUACACCUUACCAGGCACCUUACCAUAGUUCCUGUAUUAUAUAAUAAACCUACCUGAAUCCUCCCGAAACAAUAUUGCCAAAGACCAAACCAAGACCUCCAUCUCCCAUACAUCGCUUGGAAAUUUCAGGGCGCAUGAAGUACUAGAGUAAAAAAGUAUCAUACCUUCAAUCAUUAAAACUUUGCACCCCACUAGUCACCCGUUUUUGUUGCUAAGCGUAACUAACACGUUGUUUAUAUAAGUAUAAACAAGAAAAAUGAUUGCGAUGCUAAUUGCUUGAAUAUAUACUGAAGCUAUGCAAUGAUGAAUAGCGUACUUAUCCACUACUGAUACCUCAGUUCAGAGCCAGUUUUAAUAAUUUGUAUCGGAAACUGUGCACAGACUGACAAGGUCAAAAUCUUCAGUGAUAUUCAGUCGUAUGUAGCUUUCAUCGAGCCCGUUCGGAACCUUCCCAAGCAAGUUCAAUUCUGCACCUGGACCCGAUGCCUAAUUCCGUUCCUGGCUUUGUGUAUUUAGUGAUUAUAAGUUACAGAAGUUCCUAUCACAAGCAAUAUGGCUAUUGAAACGAGUCUUCGUCAAAAAGGCGAUGAAGUCAAGAUUAUUGUAAUGUAACCGGGACUUUCAUAACAUGAUACCACCCACUUCAUAUCCACUAUUUCCGGUUAUUUUUCGUCCAAUCAAUUUGUUUGUGUUAUCAGGACCUAAUGUAAGCUAACCAUUGUCAGAAAAUCAAAUGAAUUGGUUAAGAAAUAACUAGAAAAUAACGGUGGGCACAAAGUGAGUGGCACCAUGUUAUGUAACAGGUGACAAAACUGUAGUUUAGAUUCGGAGUUGAUGUUUCAAUUUGCUGUUGUAAAGAUUUUUUAAUGUCGUGAUAAUUUUCAGUUUGCAAUAAAAUAACCCACUAAGCAUCCUCCAACCCCAACCUUUCCCAUGCUAUAUAAUUUAGAAGCAAAUUGGGACAGCUCUAUCAUAUGCUCCACCAUGGGAAAAUAUCAAAAAUAAAGUAUUAAAUUUCAGAA
Long non-coding RNA from Aedes albopictus (Asian tiger mosquito), 2543 nucleotides. RefSeq lists it as uncharacterized. The transcript has 2 exons. The record is from RefSeq and is a predicted model, not a curated record. NCBI's taxonomy places the organism in Eukaryota, Metazoa, Arthropoda, Insecta, Diptera, Culicidae.